This 253-nucleotide ribosomal RNA is filed under the name uncultured bacterium. RNAcentral describes it as "partial 16S ribosomal RNA". It matches the Rfam family "Bacterial small subunit ribosomal RNA", at positions 524 to 776 of the family's 1533-position model. The record is from RNAcentral.
UACGAAGGGUGCAAACGUUGCUCGGAAUUAUUGGGCGUAAAGCGCACGUAGGCGGCUCUGCAAGUCGGAUGUGAAAUCCCUCGGCUCAACCAAGGAAGUGCAUCCGAAACUGCGGAGCUUGAGUACUUAAGAGGAUCGCGGAAUUCCCGGUGUAGAGGUGAAAUUCGUAGAUAUCGGGAGGAACACCAGUGGCGAAGGCGGCGAUCUGGGAAGAUACUGACGCUGAGGUGCGAAAGCGUGGGGAGCAAACAGG